AAGUCGUAACAAGGUUUCCGUAGGUGAACCUGCGGAAGGAUCAUUAACAAUUUUUACUUGACUAUAGAAUCCAGCGAAAGUUGGAAACUUGGUCAUUUUACACACCUGUGAACUGUACUACCGCUUCUGUUGGAAUGUUGUGGGUUAGUAAAGGACAGCCAAACUUUACUAUUGAGCAUAAAGGCAGAAGCAGUCUUUUUCGGUCUAGUAUGUUUCGGCUUACUAGAACGGCAAGGACAAAUAACCCUCACCUUUGGUGAAUUGUUGUAAAUAGUGUUGGUUUUUGGAUAAUACGGCAAAAUAUAACUUUUAACAAUGGAUCUCUAGGCUCUU
This 333-nucleotide unclassified non-coding RNA is filed under the name fungal sp. RNAcentral describes it as "partial internal transcribed spacer region". The stretch from base 1 to 46 matches the Rfam family "Eukaryotic small subunit ribosomal RNA", at positions 1786 to 1831 of the family's 1831-position model. The record is from RNAcentral. Lineage: Eukaryota; Fungi.